CAAGGAUUAUCGGACCCGCAUGCGCGCGCGGGCGCAUGCGUGCUAGAUUGGGUGGCGGCAUGGCGGACCUUGCCCAGCAGGUGCUGCGGACCGAUCCCU
Molecule: microRNA precursor, 99 nt
Filed under: Inmirania thermothiophila
Lineage: Bacteria; Pseudomonadati; Pseudomonadota; Gammaproteobacteria; Chromatiales; Ectothiorhodospiraceae
Description: microRNA mir-689
Source: RNAcentral